UGAGCAGCUUCCAUUUCAAGACCUUCUAAAUCUAAUUGCAGUGCUAAACAUGUUGUGAUUAAAUCUUUUUCCUCUCUCUAUCUUCCUCUCUCUCUCUCUAUCUCCCUCUCUCCUCUCUUGUCAAACCAAGAGAGAAUUGAAGCUCCCCAUCACCGACACCAAGAGUUUCUCAAGGUGACUGCUAGUUGGUGAUGGGAAAGCAUCAACGUCGCGGUGCUCGUUGUGAUGGACAUGAUCACUCUAACAACGGAAGAAAGAAGAGCCCACGAAAUCCAAAGAGGACGUGCCGUUGUAUUGCAGUGUCCUCGAUAUUUAGAGGGAUAGGGAGAUGCGUGUUCGUGACAUGUUUUCCUGUCAUGCAGUGCUUUGGAUUGGAUGAGUGCCGCCACCGCCACCACCACCAUCACCACCACAGACAUUUCCAUGAGUUUUCAUGACCUCAAUUGUGUGUGACUGGUGGAAAUGUUUGAGGUUUUGCUGCAUAUUUUUUUAUUUAGUACGUCCCAGAUCCUUGUGUAAAUAAAUAUACAUGUCAAGGAAAAGAUCAAGGGUUGGACAAAAGCAUACACGGGUUAUUGCGCGUAUCCGAGGUUUACUUUCGAGGCCCUUUCUCCGAUGAGGAAGUGAAUCGCGAUGUUUUCCCUGUUAUCCUGCAGAAGAUGAAGGGUUGGGGUCCUUGGGGAGAAGAACGCAUUUUGAUAUAUAGAAAGUUUGGGAUUUAGCAUAUGUCAAAAGUAUACAAAAAUCCAAAUUCCAUCAAUUUAGAUGUUGUUGCAGUUAGGAGUUUUGAUUUGAACAUGAUUGAUUUUGAUUGUACAUCUAAUGGUUCUUUAGCUUUUUCUCUUCAAAUUGAAGAAGCAAAUUAUCCAAGAAUGAUAUAGUUCAUUGAACUUAGAUUAAUCUAACCGUCCAUUUUUCUUUU
Malus domestica (apple) is the source of this 922-nucleotide long non-coding RNA. RefSeq lists it as uncharacterized. The record is from RefSeq and is a predicted model, not a curated record. NCBI's taxonomy places the organism in Eukaryota, Viridiplantae, Streptophyta, Magnoliopsida, Rosales, Rosaceae.